GACGAACGCUGGCGGCGUGCCUAAUACAUGCAAGUUGAGCGCUGAAGGUUGGUACUUGUACCAACUGGGUGAGCAGCGAACGGGUGAGUAACGCGUGGGGAAUCUGCCUUUGAGCGGGGGAAAACUUUGGAAACCAAUGGCUAAUACCGCAUAAAACUUUAAACCCCAGGUUUCAGUUUUGAAAGAGGAAUUUGCUCACUCAAAUAUAUUCCCCCGUUGUAUUUUCUAGUUUGUGAAGGAAAGGCCCACCCAGGCGAUGAUACAUAGCCCACCUGAGAGGGUGAUCGGCCACAUUGGGACUGAGACACGGGCCAAACUCCUACGGGAGGCAGCAGUAGGGAAUCUUCGGCAAUGGACGAAAGUCUGACCGAGCAAAGCCGCGUGAGGGAAGAAGGUUUUCGGAUCGGAAAACUCUGUUGGUAGAGAAGAACGUUGGUGAGAGUGGAAAGCGCAUCAAGUGACGGUAACUACCCAGAAAGGGACGGCUAACUACGUG
This 496-nucleotide ribosomal RNA is filed under the name uncultured bacterium. RNAcentral describes it as "partial 16S ribosomal RNA". It matches the Rfam family "Bacterial small subunit ribosomal RNA", at positions 28 to 507 of the family's 1533-position model. The record is from RNAcentral.